Non-coding RNA from Rhineura floridana, 72 nucleotides. Lineage: Eukaryota; Metazoa; Chordata; Lepidosauria; Squamata; Rhineuridae. The record is from the annotation of a RefSeq genome assembly.
GGUAAUGUAGCUCAGUAGUAGAACAUCUGCUUUCUAUGCAGGAGGUCCCAGGUUCAAUCCCUGGCAUCUCCA